AGGGAUGUAGCUCAGUUGGUAGAGAGCUUGCCUGGCAAUCAUGAAGCCUUGGGUUUGACUCCUAGAACCUCAU
RNAcentral lists this transfer RNA (73 nucleotides) under Mus musculus (house mouse). RNAcentral describes it as "tRNA-Ala". Lineage: Eukaryota; Metazoa; Chordata; Mammalia; Rodentia; Muridae. The record is from RNAcentral.